Talpa occidentalis (Iberian mole) is the source of this 488-nucleotide long non-coding RNA. RefSeq lists it as uncharacterized. The transcript has 4 exons. NCBI's taxonomy places the organism in Eukaryota, Metazoa, Chordata, Mammalia, Eulipotyphla, Talpidae. The record is from RefSeq and is a predicted model, not a curated record.
CCACAUGGCUGACAGAGGAGACUACCUAGAAACCUGGAACCUGCACUCCUGUUGAGAAGCAGAGUCCUGAUACUGCCUCACAUUGGGGCACCCGGUCUUCUACUUCUCCGUUGUACUAACAAGGCAGCACUUCUCAAUUUUCCCUACUGGAGUGAUGUCAGAGAAUACCAACAAAAACAGAAAGUUUCACACCAUAAGGAAGCUGAGGAUCCUUUUGUCCUUUUGGAAUGCCCUGGGGUGUGGGGGGAUUUCUCCACUUGUCUGACUACCAGAUCUGACCCUCUUGACCCUGAGUUUUCCUGGUUGCUAAGAACUGCUGUUCUCAAGGGGCUGCCAUCUGAGAAAUAUAGCUUCUCUGCACGGUGGUCGAUGAUAAGAAAACAGAAAAACGGACAGCUUGAAUAAUUGAAGUUGAGUAACUGAACCAUGAUUUGAACUCAAAAAGUCUACCUCAUGCAGAAUUUAAUUUUAUUUUUAAUUUUCUGUUC